This is a long non-coding RNA of Drosophila willistoni, 460 nucleotides long. RefSeq lists it as uncharacterized. The record is from RefSeq and is a predicted model, not a curated record. NCBI's taxonomy places the organism in Eukaryota, Metazoa, Arthropoda, Insecta, Diptera, Drosophilidae. The transcript is spliced from 2 exons.
UGUAUAUUCAGUUUGGUCAGAAGUCUGCAACGCCUAGAAGGAAGCAUCUCAUUGUAAGACCAUAUAAAGUACAUAUAUAUGUUCUUGAUCAGCACGAGGUCAAAUAGCCAUGUCUGGGAAUGGCGCUUAAAAAUUUGGUUUUAAAUUAUUACAGAUUCCUAUAGUGAUGAUUGAAGAUGAUUGAUAUACGAUUUAUAUACCCUUGCUCUGAAGUUAAACCAUGACAAAUAAUAUAUGUAAGAAGGCAAGUUCACUGGCUACUGCAACGAAGUAAACAACUUACACUGUCUUUUCGUCUGAUUAACAUCAGGUUUUAGUUUUGCUGACAUUACUUAGCAAUGUCUGGAUCUAUUGUAAGAAAAGUAGACUUUACAAUCUGACUUUAGUGCUAUAAACUCAAAUUGUACCGAAAUCAUAUUGCAUCUGGUAUUGUAAAUGGCAUAUGCUAUUUUGUGGUAUA